This 386-nucleotide ribosomal RNA is filed under the name uncultured bacterium. RNAcentral describes it as "bacterial SSU rRNA". It matches the Rfam family "Bacterial small subunit ribosomal RNA", at positions 28 to 417 of the family's 1533-position model. The record is from RNAcentral.
GACGAACGCUGGCGGCGUGCUUAACACAUGCAAGUCGAGCGGUAAGGCCCUUUCGGGGGUACACGAGCGGCGAACGGGUGAGUAACACGUGGGUGACCUGCCCUCAGCUCUGGGAUAAGCCUGGGAAACCGGGUCUAAUACCGGAUAUGACUCCAUGACGCAUGUUGUGGGGUGGAAAGCCUUGUGCGGCUGAGGAUGGGCCCGCGGCCUAUCAGCUUGUUGGUGGGGUGAUGGCCUACCAAGGCGACGACGGUAGCCGGCCUGAGAGGGCGACCGGCCACACUGGGACUGAGACACGGCCCAGACUCCUACGGGAGCAGCAGUGGGGAAUCUUGCGCAAUGGGCGAAAGCCUGACGCAGCGACGCCGCGUGAGGGAUGACGGCCU